This 474-nucleotide ribosomal RNA is filed under the name Triticum aestivum (bread wheat). RNAcentral describes it as "partial small subunit ribosomal RNA". Lineage: Eukaryota; Viridiplantae; Streptophyta; Magnoliopsida; Poales; Poaceae. The record is from RNAcentral.
AUGAUUGGUGCUUUCUGGAAUAUCAGAGGCCUCAAUGGCUUUGCCAAGAAUACUAGAGUGCAGGAGCUCAUAAAAGCUUGCUGCCCUGACUUUGUUUGCUUAUCUGAGACUAAAAAAGCCAACUUCACCAUACCACAACUAGAUGCCAUAGAUACUAGAAGUGGUUUUGCUUGGAAGUGGCUGCCUGCUAUUGGCACUACAGGUGGUAUACUUGUGGGUGUUAAAGAGGAUUGUUUUGAUAUUUUACAGUGUGAUAUUGGCACCUUUUGCAUUUCCUGUAUUUUGAGGUUCAAACAUAGUGAUACCAUGUGGAGAUUAAUCUCUGUGUAUGGUUCUGCUUAUGAUGAGUUAAAACUUGAUUUUCUUAAUGAACUCAGUAGUGUUCUCUCUAGCUGGUUUGGUCCCACUCUAGUGGGGGGUGACUUUAACCUAGUUAGGAACACUAGUGAGAAAAAUACUGGCAAUACAAAUUAA